Molecule: RNA transcript, 1070 nt
Organism: Cucumis melo (muskmelon)
Lineage: Eukaryota; Viridiplantae; Streptophyta; Magnoliopsida; Cucurbitales; Cucurbitaceae
Exons: 3
Source: RefSeq, a predicted model, not a curated record
UACCCAAAACCUAGCACCUGUUUGGAUUAAGGGUUAUGAAACCUUAGUUUUAGGGUUUCCAUAAUACCCACUUUACCCUCAAACCUCUCCCACUCAUCUACUGAUUUGUUUCCUCCAUUGUUGCCUUCAACCUGUGUUAAGCAUGUAUCUUCAAUCCCUUUUCAUCCCCUUCGAUCCCUCUUCUUCCUUCCGUUUUUUGUUGUUUCUUCGUCUCCCUCAUCUCCUCCAUUUGCAUUUUCUGUUCACAAAUCUCAACUCUCCCACCUUCAUAUGUCAAUUUAUCUCCCUCAUUUUUCCCUUUAACCCGUGUAUACGAUGCAUCCUUAAUCUGUGUUAAACCCCUUCAAUCCCUCGUCUUUCUUCCAUUUUUUGUUGUUUCUUCAUCUCCCUCAUUUGCUCCAUUUGCGUUUUUUGUUCUAUUUAUGUAUGAGAUUCGGGCGUUGCCCUUUGCCGAUAAAAAAUAUGAACCCCCUUUUCAUGAAAAAUGGGUUUUCUUUCGUGACACUGAAUUCCCAUCUACAUCUCUCUCAUCCAUCUCUCUCAAUCCCCAAAGUGAUACUCGUGUUUUGUUGAAGGCGACCCCUUUAAUGGCGUUGCCUCCAAACACAUUUCCAUUUUCGGAUCUAUGGCUUUCAUUGAAAGACUGGGUCCAAUCCUUGCUUCCGAAACCAUUCGAUGGGUCUUCUAUGUGAACAACCAUCUUCCUUUUGUCCCUUGAAUUUUUCCUUGCUGCUCGAGGUUUCCUUUUUGUUGCUCGGUGUUUUCCUUACCGUUUUGAGUUUUUCUUGGCUGAUAAGACAGACACUCCAUACCGUUGUGCGGCAAUGGGUGCCUAUCGUGUAUGGUAGGGAGAGAUUCCCUGUCUUCUUUUUUCCGUGUGGCUAUUCAAAGGCAUCAAAACUCCACCCAUUUCUGCCAUCUACCUUCUAGGUCGUAUUGGUCAUCAUAGAAGGUAUGUAUACGUAAUAUUUCUUCCAUUCUUUUCUUCCAUAUCUUCUAUUAUGUAGAAAUCUACCAUUCUACGUCCCUUGUGCGUUUUCUAAUGUUCUUUAUCUUAUGCAGGACGUCCC